GCUGGUCUGAGGGGACGACCGGCCACAUUGGGACUGAGAUACGGCCCAGACUCCUACGGGAGGCAGCAGUGGGGAAUAUUGGACAAUGGAGGAAACUCUGAUCCAGCGACACCGCGUGGGGGAUGAAGGCUUUCGGGUCGUAAACCCCUUUUCUGGGGGAAGAAUAAGGUUGGGAGGAAAUGCCCAUCCGAUGACGGUACUCCAGGAAUAAGCAUCGGCAAACUCCGUGCCAGCAGCCGCGGUAAGACGGAGGAUGCAAGCGUUAUCCGGAAUUACUGGGCGUAAAGGACGUCUAGGCGGUUGGGUAAGUCACUUGUGAAAGCCCUCGGCUCAACCGAGGAAAGUCUCGUGAUACUGCCCAGCUUGGGUGUAGGAGAGGGAAGUGGAACUCACAGAGUAGCGGUGGAAUGCGUAGAUACUGUGAGGUACCCCGAUGGCGAAGGCAACUUCCUGGCCUACUACCGACGCUGAAGCGUGAAAGCGUGGGGAGCAAAGGGGAUUAGAUACCCCCGUAGUCCACGCCCCAAACGAUGUUCACUUGGUGUCGGCCGCAAAUGUAGGUCGGUGCCGGAGCUAACGCGUUAAGUGAACCGCCUGAGGAGUACGGCCGCAAGGCUAAAACUCAAGAGAAUUGACGGGUCCCCGCACAAGCGGUGGAGCACGUGGUUUAAUUCGAUGUAAGCGAAGAACCUCACCCAGGCUUGACAUACUAGUGGUAGGAACCUGAAAGGGGGACGACCCUACCUUCGGGUAGGGAGCUAGUACAGGUGAUGCAUGGCUGUCGUCAGCUCGUGUCGUGGGAUGUAGGGUUAAGUCCCGAAACGAGCGCAACCCUUGUCGUUAGUUGCCAGCGGGUAAUGCCGGGGACUCUAGCGAGACUGCUGGUGAAUAGCCGGAGGAAGGCGGGGAUGACGUCAAGUCAUCAUGUCCCUUACGCCUGGGGCGACACACAUGCUACAAUGGGUGGUACAGAGGGUCGCGAAGCCGUAAGGUGGAGCCAAUCUCACAAAACCAUCCUCAGUUCGGAUUGAGGUCUGCAACUCGACCUCAUGAAGCCGGAAUCGCUAGUAAUCGCGGGUCAGCCAUACCGCGGUGAAUAUGUACUCGGGGAUUGUACACACCGCCCGUCACACCAACCGAGUGGGGGGUACCUGAAGUCGUCUCUAGGAGGCGCCGAGGGUAACCUUCGCAAGAGGGGUGAAGUCGUAACAAGGUA
RNAcentral lists this ribosomal RNA (1216 nucleotides) under metagenome. RNAcentral's name for it is "bacterial SSU rRNA". It matches the Rfam family "Bacterial small subunit ribosomal RNA", at positions 286 to 1498 of the family's 1533-position model. The record is from RNAcentral.